AACGAACGCUGGCGGCAGGCCUAACACAUGCCAGUCGAGCGCACCCUGCGGGGUUAGCGGCGGACGGGUGAGUAACGCGUGGGAACGUGCCCUGCUCUGCGGAAUAGCCUCGGGAAACUGAGAGUAAUACCGCAUACGCCCUUUGGGGGAAAGAUUGAUCGGAGAAGGAUCGGCCCGCGUUGGAUUAGGUAGUUGUUGGGGUAAUGGCCCACCAAGCCGACGAUCCAUAGCUGGUUUGAGAGGAUGAGCAGCCACACUGGUACUGAGACACGGCCCAGACUACUACGGGAGGCAGCAGUGGGGAAUCUUAGAAAAUGGGGGCAAACCUGAUCUAGCCAUGACGCGUGAGUGAUGAAGGCCUUAGGGUUGUAAAGCUAUUUCAGCUGGGAAGAUAAUGACGGUACCAGCAGAAGAAGCCCCGGCUAACUCCGUG
This 433-nucleotide ribosomal RNA is filed under the name uncultured bacterium. RNAcentral's name for it is "partial 16S ribosomal RNA". It matches the Rfam family "Bacterial small subunit ribosomal RNA", at positions 29 to 507 of the family's 1533-position model. The record is from RNAcentral.